Felis catus (domestic cat) is the source of this 3504-nucleotide long non-coding RNA. RefSeq lists it as uncharacterized. NCBI's taxonomy places the organism in Eukaryota, Metazoa, Chordata, Mammalia, Carnivora, Felidae. The transcript is spliced from 4 exons. The record is from RefSeq and is a predicted model, not a curated record.
ACAGCUUUGGGUAUGCCCGUGGUCACCUGGGGGUGACAGUGGUAUCCGUAGGCCUCCCUUUCUCUCUUUGCCUGAUCACAGGCAGGUGUGUAUUCCAUUGAAUGCUUUAUUACUUUAAACAGUGCCCUGCACAUAAAUUGCUUGUAUUUAAUCCUUUCAAAUUGUGGAGUGGUUUCUGAGGUUGGGACAGUACCCCCCCUCCACCUUAUCCACAGGGGAUACAUUCCAAGGCCCCCAACAGACACAUGAAAAUGGCCAGUAUGCAACCCCAUAUAUACUAUGUUUUUUUUCCUAUAUACAUACCUAUGAUAAAGUUUAGCUUAUGAAUCGGGCACAGUUAGGAUUAGCAACAAUAAUAAUAAAACAGAACAAUUAACAAUAUACUGUAAUACAUUAUGGGAAUGUGGUUUCUCUCUCUCAACCUCUCUCAGAAUAACUCCUCGUACAGUAUUCACCCUUCUUGUGUUGGUGACAUGACAUGAAAAAUGCCUUUGUGGUGAGAUAAAUGGGGGGAAUGACACAGACAUUGUGACAAAGCGUUAGGCUAGUAUUGCUCUUCCACGGAUGCCUCAGAAGGAGGACCUCUGCUCCCUGACUAUCGUUGACUGCAGUCUUCAGCUCUCAGAAGAUUAGUGAAAGAUGAUGGCUGAUCUGGAGCCUCUUCGCUGAGGACAAAACGAGAUAGAUGACGCUUUGGAGCCAUCUUUCUGGGGCAACAGAGAACGGAGGUCCCUUUUUGAGAAGACCUGAGACAAUGAUGUGCUUCCAUGCCAGAAUGGGAAGAAAUGGUCCAAGAGAGCAAACCAGAAGUAAGAGCGAAAGUGAAGGGGAGCAGUGGGCUUGACGUCCAUUUUGAUAUCACUGAGGCCCAGGUAGAUCUUUCUGCUUUGAGAUGAACUGCUGUAGUAUAUCCCGCUGCUGGACAGAAGUGGUAAGAACCUCCUCUGCCCAGGCAGUGGAAUGACUCUUUGGCCAGCCAACUUGACAUUCAUUGAUUCUCCUAUCGGAACGAUGUUCCUGUUCAAUUUCCUCCAUAGUCACCCCUGACAUGUUUACUGGGAGAUGAAAUGUGAUCCUUUUGGGAAGCAGAGCUUUUGUGAUCCACUUCCUGAUGUAACAAAUACCAAGGUCAAGGCUUAGGGGUUAGGCAUGUAGGCUAUUGUCAGACAACCUGGGGCUUUCUUUGGCAAUAGAGGUCCCUUAAAAGCUUAGGAGUUUCAUCUCUUUGCUUCUAGGAAUUUCAGUGGGCACGCAGGUACCCAGAGUUAGGUGUCUUCUCUGCCUCUGUGCCAUGUUCACUCCCCUGGCAUAAAGUUUAACUUCCUCACCUUGGAUUAUUUCAAGCGUUGGAUCAUUUGCAAAAGCAGCAACAAUAAUCCUCUCCUUGACCCCAUACUUCAUUCUAGAUACAGCUUUCCAGGGAACAGGGAGUACUUACAAGAAGGUGGCAGAAAGAGGCCUGUGACAACAGGCUCAUCUUUCCCCUCAGUGUUGUCUGUUUCUCAGUCUUCUGCAUCUUCCGUGUCUAACUGUAGCUUGGGUGGACAACACAGCCUUUCUGACCUUGAACAUCUCCAGAUUCUUGGCCCUGCAUUCAACUUGGAUUUUAGGGCAAGAGCACAAAAGGCCUCCUUUUAAUCAAGCUGUGUGGUUUUCUCUCUCUGCUUUUGGAGUUCAGUUAAGCGUAAACUUACCUCUUGUAAGACCUUGCUGAUGGCUAAAAGAAGUGGUUAAAAGCAUACCAACAGCCUGCAUUUUUCUACCACUUCUCCUAACGAAUCAGUCUCCUCUGGCACAUCGUCUCUGCCCUAAAGUAUAAUCAGCUGCAUUUCAGUACAGUGUUCCCCAGCUAUAUCACUAGAGUAAGUCAUUUGCUAAAUGGGGGUAACAGACCCUCCUAACUGAUAGACAUAGAGGACUGGGCCGUGCUGGGAGUGACUUUGGUCUGCUAUGCAAAUCUGUGCUGGCUGUUUCUAUUAGGAUUACCUUGGGCUGCAAGUAACAAUAAAACAGAGCAAAGGUGGCUUACAUCUGUAAGGAUAUUUAUUAUGUACAGCAAAUGACAAGUCUGGGGACAAGUGAUCCCAGGGUUGACUGAGAGGACUGGCAGUGACAGGAAGGGCUCUGUGUCUGCACCCUGAGAUGCUCUUGGCCUUUCACUAAGAGUGACAAGAUGAUCCCUGAAAUGUUAAGCAACACGUUCUGAGGUGAUGGCAUCCCAGGCAGGCAGUAAGGGCGAGGGUGGCAAGGGGGCUAUUUCUCCUCCAGUACUCUUCCUUUUAUUAUGAAAGAAAAGGUCCCUCAGCAGAUGUCCCCUCAGUCUCACUGGCCAGACUGGGACACCUACCCUUGUCCAGCACAACCACCGGUGGAGACGUCUGGGAUUACCUGGCCAGCUUAAACCACGCCCCCCAGGAUGUGAAAAUGUCACUCUUCUCCAAGUCUUCCGCUGCCCACCUGCUACCAACAAAAUACAGCUCUGUUUGCAAGGAAGAUGGAGAGGUGGCUGAGGGAAGGGUGUCUGCCACAGAGCUCUAGAGGGGAAGUCCCUGAGGUGUGGAGGAGCAAAUGUCAGCUGUCUGUGGAAGCCUUCGGGAGGCACGCGAAGUAAGGAUUUAUGACCUGCGUCAAAUUUCUGAUCCCCUGCUUGAGAGGCCUUAGCGUGAGGUGAAGACAGCAGAAGAGGAAAACAACUCUGCAAGAAAGGGAAAGGGCAGGGCCCAGGGGUGGGACAUUAAGGAAUAAAGAUGGAAGGGGAAACGGGAAAUCGGAGCGCACAGGGAGGCCGGAGCGAGACUUUUUGUGACUGUUGCUUUCAUAGGGGAAGGAUUAUGAAGAGUCUUAGCAAUUUCUUCUGGGGAAGAAGAGGGAUGUCGGGGCUGAGGAAACCCAAAGGCAGAAAGCCUGUGGGCGGGGUUCAGGCCAGGCUGGGGGUGGAAUCUGAACCUUGUACGGUUGGAAGGGACUUCUUUAAGAAAACGUAAAAAAAAAAAGUACAAAAUGCAUAAAAUGAGGUUUCAAAGCAAACAUUCAUUUAGAGUGUAGAAAGAAACCCGACUUAAAGUUGUAACUUAAGUUUGUAACUUACAACUAAAGUUUGUCUCUUAAAGUUACGAACUUUUAGAAUAUGACAAUCAGAAAAACGACAUUGUUUUUAUUAGCUGGCUGACACGCCCCUUUAAUCAUCUUUCCUUCAAGUUUUAUCCAUACACUCAAUACCCCUUCAUAUUAAGGACAACGGACACUGUUUUUUAUAAUGAGCACAGAAGGAUAAUUCAGUCACGGAGGAGCACAGCCGGUGAACAAAGAGUAUUCUCCGUUCUGGUUGGGAUGCAUGAGGCGUGUGACCUCACCCUCGCAUGUCCUCACGGCUGGGUGCGCCGCUUUCAGGCCUGUGUCCCACAAACGUGGGCCUCCCGUUAAACUCGCCUCCACGCAGUUCCAUUCAGAAAAGGGAAAAACAGGGGCGCUUGGGUGGCGCAGUCGGUUAAGCGUCCGACUUCA